AGCGUAGGAGACAAACGUUAUCCGGAGUUACUGGGCGUAAAGGGCGUGUAGGUGGUAGAGUAAGUCUGGCGUGAAAUUUUUCGGCUUAACCGGGAAAGGUCGUCGGAUACUGCUUAACUAGAGGACGGUAGAGGCGUGUGGAAUUCCGGGUGUAGUGGUGAAAUGCGUAGAGAUCCGGAGGAACACCAGUGGCGAAGGCGACACGCUGGGCCGUACCUGACACUGAUGCGCGACAGCAUGGGGAGCAAACAGG
RNAcentral lists this ribosomal RNA (253 nucleotides) under uncultured bacterium. RNAcentral's name for it is "partial 16S ribosomal RNA". It matches the Rfam family "Bacterial small subunit ribosomal RNA", at positions 524 to 776 of the family's 1533-position model. The record is from RNAcentral.